RNAcentral lists this ribosomal RNA (253 nucleotides) under uncultured bacterium. Its description in RNAcentral is "partial 16S ribosomal RNA". It matches the Rfam family "Bacterial small subunit ribosomal RNA", at positions 524 to 776 of the family's 1533-position model. The record is from RNAcentral.
GACAGAGGUGCCAAGCGUUAGGCGGAAUCACUGGGCUUAAAGCGUGUGUGGGCGGAAUUGUAAGUACCUUGUGAAAUCCCACGGCUCAACCGUGGAACUGCUUGGUAUACUGCUUUUCUUGAGCCACUUAGGGGCUGUCGGAACAAACGGUGGAGCGGUGAAAUGCGUUGAGAUCGGAAGGAACGCCCGUGGCGAAAGCGAGGUCCUGGACCCUUUCUGACGCUGAGACGCGAAAGCCAGGGGAGCGAACGGG